Molecule: long non-coding RNA, 999 nt
Filed under: Homo sapiens (human)
Lineage: Eukaryota; Metazoa; Chordata; Mammalia; Primates; Hominidae
Description: HSALNT0097220
Source: RNAcentral
UUACUCUCCAUUUCUAUUUGAUUAUUUUCAUAUUUCUCCCUUUCCUUUCAUUAUUGUUACUUAAAAUAUUUCUAUUCUUAUUUAUAUUGUUUCUUAUUAUGUGUUUUUUUUUUUUUUUUCAGUGAACUCCUGUGCUUAAGCAAUCUUCCUGCCUUGGCCUCCCAAAGUUCUGAGAUUAUAUGGAUAUAUGAAGUCUGGGGGUAAGACCUGCAGUAAUUUCCCUUAAGUUACUGAUCGUGGAGCCUCUCCAGGACUACAGGCUCUUCCUCAGCGGCUGCCAAGCUCCUCUUAGGGAAGCCGGGGAACUUCUGAAUGCCCAAGUAUACCCUGCUGGAGGCACAGGAAUCCUCUUGGAAGCUUUGUCUGGACAUGCUUUAAUACCGUCCAUUUCUACUGUUGCCAUACCAAGCCGCUACUGGUCACCACUGUAAAUCUUUCUGCUGUUUUUUAUAACCACAAAGUAUAGCACAAUUUCUGUCUGCUUUCAUGCACCUAAAACUAUUGUGGUUUUUGCCUUUCCCGGUCUCAUUAGCUAAAACAAAGAGUUGAUAAAGGCACAGGCCCUUUCUCAAGAAACAAAAUGUUGUCUGUCUUCUUUCUGCAGUGAAACAGAAUGUAAAGUCCAGAAAUAAACGUGUAAUUAAAUAAUUGUGUUUUUUUUGACAAAGAUACUAACACAAUUUAAUAGGGAAACGGCAGCAUUCUCAAUAAAUCAUGUGAAACUAGAUACUAAUUCACUCAAUAAACAAGGGUUAAUUUGAGAUGUAGCAUAGGUCUGAACAUAAAAGUUUCUAGGAGAAAAUGUUGGUGACUGUUUUUCAGGCUGUGGGAUGAGCAAAUAUUUCUUACACUGAACACAAAAAGCACUAACCACAAAAAAUACCCAAAAAUAUUUUUUAAUCAAAAUUAAAAUAAUUUGCUCAUAAACACCAGUAAGACAAUGAAAAAGCAAGCUGCAUGCUGCUAAAAAAAAUUGACAGCACGUGUAUUGAUAAAAUG